GAUGAACGCUGGCGGCGUGCCUAAUACAUGCAAGUCGAGCGAACAGACGAGGCGCUUUCUCCUCUGACGUUAGCGGCGGACGGGUGAGUAACACGUGGAUAACCUACCUAUAAGACUGGGAUAACUUCGGGAAACCGGAGCUAAUACCGGAUUAUAUAUUGAACCGCAUGGUUCAAUAGUGAAAGACGGUUUUGCUGUCACUUAUAGCUGGAUCCGCGCCGCAUUAGCUAGUUGGUAAGGUAACGGCUUACCAAGGCAACGAUGCGUAGCCGACCUGAGAGGGUGAUCGGCCACACUGGAACUGAGACACGGUCCAGACUCCUACGGGAGGCAGCAGUAGGGAAUCUUCCGCAAUGGGCGAAAGCCUGACGGAGCAACGUCGCGUGAGUGAUGAAGGUCUUCGGAUCGUAAAACUCUGUUAUUAGGGAAGAACAAAUGUGUAAGUAACUAUGCACGUCUUGACGGUACCUAAUCAGAAAGCCACGGCUAACUACGUG
This 497-nucleotide ribosomal RNA is filed under the name uncultured bacterium. RNAcentral describes it as "partial 16S ribosomal RNA". It matches the Rfam family "Bacterial small subunit ribosomal RNA", at positions 28 to 507 of the family's 1533-position model. The record is from RNAcentral.